AAACUUUGUCUCUAUAACUCUUUCCAUGGGUGUUUUGUUCCCAAUUCUAAGAAGGGGCAAAGUGUGCACACUUUGGUCUUCGUUCUUCUUGAGUUUCAUGUGUUUAGCAAAUUGUAUCUUAUAUCUUGGGUAUCCUAAGUUUCUGCGCUAAUAUCCACUGAUCAGUGAGUACAUAUUGUGUGAGUUCCUUUGUGAUUGGGAUACCUCACUCAGGAUGAUGCCCUCCAGGUCCAUCCAUUUGCCUAGGAAUUUCAUAAAUUCAUUAUUUUUAAUAGCUGAGUAGUACUCCAUUGUGUAAAUGUACCACAUUUUCUGUAUCCAUUCCUCUGUUGAGGGGCAUCUGGGUUCUUUACAGCUUCUGGCUAUUAUAAAUAAGGCUGCUAUGAACAUAGUGGAGCACCAUGUGUCCUUCUUACCAGUUGGGACAUCUUCUGGAUAUAUGCCCAGGAGAGGUAUUGUGGGAUCCUCCGGUAGUACUAUGUCCAAUUUUCUGAGGAACCGCCAGACUGAUUUCCAGAGUGGUUGUACAAGCUUGCAAUCCCACCAACAAUGGAGGAGUGUUCCUCUUUCUCCACAUCCUUGCCAGCAGUUGCUGUCACCUAAAUUUUUGAUCUUAGCCAUUCUGACUGGAGUGAAGUAGAAUCUCAGGGUUGUUUUGAUUUGCACUUCCCUGAUGAUUAAGGAUGUUGAACAUUUUUUCAGGUGCUCCUCUGCCAUUCGGUAUUCCUCAGGUGAGAAUUCUUUGUUCAGUUCUGAGCCCCAUUUUUUAAUGGGGUUAUUUGAUUUUCUGAAGUCCACCUUCUUGAGUUCUUUAUAUAUGUUGGAUAUUAGUCCCCUAUCUGAUUUAGGAUAGGUAAAGAUCCUUUCCCAAUCUGUUGGUGGUCUUUUUGUCUUAUUGACGGUGUCUUUUGCCUUGCAGAAACUUUGGAGUUUCAUUAGGUCCCAUUUGUCAAUUCUCGAUCUUACAGCACAAGCCAUUGCUGUUCUGUUCAGGAAUUUUUCCCCUGUGCCCAUAUCUUCAAGGCUUUUCCCCACUUUCUCCUCUAUAAGUUUCAGUGUCUCUGGUUUUAUGUGAAGUUCUUUGAUCCAUUUAGAUUUGACCUUAGUACAAGGAGAUAGAAAUGGAUCAAUUCACAUUCUUCUACAUGAUAACCGCCAGUUGUGCCAGCACCAUUUGUUGAAAAUGCUGUCUUUUUUCCACUGGAUGGUUUUAGCUCCCUUGUCAAAGAUCAGGUGACCAUAGGUGUGUGGAUUCAUCUCUGGGUCUUUAAUUCUGUUCCAUUGGUCUACUUGUCUGUCACUAUACCAGUACCAUGCAGUUUUGAUCAGAAUUGUUCUCUAGUACAGUUUUAGGUCUGGCAUGGUGAUUCCACCAGAGGUUCUUUUAUCCUUGAGAAGAGUUUUUGCUAUCCUAGGUUUUUUGUUAUUCCAGAUGAAUCUGCCUAUUGCCCUUUCUAAUUCGUUGAAGAAUUGAGUUGGAAUUUUGAUGGGGAUUGCAUUGAAUCUGCAGAUUGCUUUUGGCAAGAUAGCCAUUUUUACAAUGUUGAUCCUGCCAAUCCAUGAACAUGGUAGAUCUUUCCAUCUUCUGAGAUCUUCUUUCAUUUCUUUCUUCAGAGACUUUAAGUUCUUAUCAUACAGAUCUUUUACUUCCUUAGAGUCAUGCCAAGAUAUUUUAUAUUAUUUGUGACUAUUGAGAAGGGUGUUGUUUCCCUAAUUUCUUUCUCAGCCUGUUUAUCCUUUGUGUACAGAAAGGCCAUUGACUUGUUUGAGUUAAUUUUAUAUCCAGCUACUUCAUUGAAGCUGUUUAUUAGGCUUAGGAGUUCUCUGGUGGAAUUUUUAGGGUCACUUAUAUAUACUAUCAUAUCAUCUGCAAAAAGUGAUAUUUUGACUUCUUCCUUUCCAAUUUGUAUCCUCUUGAUCUCCUUUUGUUGUCGAAUUGCUCUGGCUAGGACUUCAAGUACAAUGUUGAAUAGGUAGGGAGAGAAUGGACAUGCUUGUCUAGUCCCUGAUUUUAGUGGGAUUGCUUCCAGCUUCUCACCAUUUACUUUGAUGUUGGCUACUGGUUUGCUGUAGAUUGCUUUUAUCAUGUUUAGGUAUGGGCCUUGGAUUCCUGAUCUUUCCAAGACUUUUAUCAUGAAUGGGUGUUGGGUCUUGUAAAAUGUUUUCUCCGUAUCUAACAAGAUGAUCAUGUGGUUUUUGUCUUUGAGUUUGUUUAUAUACUGGAUUACGUUGAUGGAUUUCCAUAUAUUGAACCAUUCGUGGGAUGAAACCUACUUGGUCAGGAUGGAUGAUUGUUUUGGUGUAUUCUUGGAUUCAGUUAGCGAGAACUUUAUUGAGGAUUUUUGCAUCUAUAUUCAUAAGGGAAAUUGGUCUGAAGUUCUCUAUCUUUGUUGGGUCAUUUUGUGGUUUAGGUAUCAGAGUAAUUGUGGCUUCAUAGAAUGAGUUAGGUAUAGUACCUUCUGUUUCUAUUUUGUGGAAUAGUUUGUGAAGAACUGGGAUUAGAUCUUCUUUAAAGGUCUGAUAGAACUCUGCACUAAACCCAUCUGCUCCUGGGCUUUUUGUGGUUGGGAGACUAUUAAAGACUGCUUCUAUUUCUUUAGGGGAUAUAGGACUGUUUAGAUCAUUAACCUGAUCCUGAUUUAACUUUGUUACCUGGUAUCUGUCUAGAAAUUUGUUCAUUUCAUCCAGGUUUUACAAAUCAAUUUUUAUUGACUAAUAGGCUAAACAUAUUCAACUUAUGGGCGAUAUGGUAGAAAAAUAUGUGGCUUUUAGGAAAAUGAAUAGGAAUCAAUUUUUCUUUAACUCUUUACAUUGAUGAAUCAAGAUAAAAAUUUUAAAAUAGUUAACUACCAACAUGUGUCUUAAAAAAAAUCCAAUGAUUCAUCAGUUGGAUUGUGUUAGCUUUAAAUAGACGAUAUAUGUAAGUUGUAGAAAUUAAUAUUUUCCACAUGGGUGUGAUUUGGUCUUAAUAAAGGUGAAUAAAUUACUGAAGUUUUACAGGAUGCUAUCAAAAUUUAAUUAUGAUUACUAAUAUAAUUUUCUCCUUAGACUUUGACACACAAAUAAAUUUUUACAUGUUAAAGCAUGUAUGUCAACUUUUACACAGAACAUAGAAAAGAAAUAAAAGCCUAGAAUGAUGGCUCAGCUAUUAAAAGCACUGGCUAUUUUUCUAGAAAGAAAAUAAAAAAUCUGUGUUUGAUUCCCAGCACUCACAUAUUGGCUCACAACUGUCUGUAACUCCAGUUCCAAGGGAUCUGACACUUUCUUCUGCCCCUUACGGAUACUAAGCAUACAUGUUGUAUGCAAACAUAAAUGCAGGUAGUAUACACAUAUACAUAAAUUAAAAGUAAGUAAAUAUUUUUACAAAGU
This 3369-nucleotide long non-coding RNA is filed under the name Mus musculus (house mouse). Its description in RNAcentral is "long non-coding RNA chrX:113399323-113402692". The record is from RNAcentral. Lineage: Eukaryota; Metazoa; Chordata; Mammalia; Rodentia; Muridae.